AUACGGAGGAUGCAAGCGUUAUCCGGAUUUAUUGGGUUUAAAGGGUGCGUAGGCUGUUCGGAAAGUCAGGGGUGAAAGCCCGGCGCCUAACGCCGGAACUGCCUUUGAUACUUCCGAGCUGGAAUACGGAUGCCGUGGGAGGAAUGAGUAGUGUAGCGGUGAAAUGCAUAGAUAUUACUCAGAACACCGAUUGCGAAGGCAUCUCACGAAUCCGUCAUUGACGCCGAGGCACGAAAGCGUGGGGAUCAAACAGGAUUAGAUACCCUGGUAGUCCACGCAGUAAACGAUGAUGACUAACCGUCGGCGAUACACAGUCGGUGGCCAAGCGAAAGCGAUAAGUCAUCCACCUGGGGAGUACGUUCGCAAGAAUGAAACUCAAAUGAAUUGGCGGGG
RNAcentral lists this ribosomal RNA (393 nucleotides) under uncultured bacterium. RNAcentral describes it as "partial 16S ribosomal RNA". It matches the Rfam family "Bacterial small subunit ribosomal RNA", at positions 523 to 918 of the family's 1533-position model. The record is from RNAcentral.